Long non-coding RNA from Oncorhynchus tshawytscha (Chinook salmon), 1329 nucleotides. The record is from Ensembl. NCBI's taxonomy places the organism in Eukaryota, Metazoa, Chordata, Actinopteri, Salmoniformes, Salmonidae.
UAUGCAAUUGUUAUGUGCACUCUAGAAAUUAGGGGUUAAAGAAGGGUUCUUCUAAGAUCCUCAAAGUUCUUUGAAGAACCUUAGUGUUAUUGGCACUGAAUAUUGCCCAGAAAAGUUUUGUCCAAGAACCCCAUAGGAGGUGGGGUUCAUCGAGGAACCUCCUUAGUUGGUGGGGGGUUCUUGCAGGAACCUAACUGCCCAACUGAAACAUUUGGAUUUGAAUUUGAAAGGACAGCAGAUGCAGAAAAUGAACACAAUUCAAUGGAUAUCAAUCAACAAAGAGGUAUACAGAUGAGGAGGCCUACAAAGACUUCACCCUCCCUACACCUCUGAUGAAUAUAUCAGGAAACCUGUUUGAUCACCAUGAACUGCAAAAUCAUUCGGUCUAUGGAUACGGAGAACAUCAACACAUUAACAUCAACAGGACAAAGGAUAUACACAUUGGACUUGGGGCUCUGCUGGGAGUUUGCCUCAUAUUUAGAUGUUUUUUAUUCUGCUUUGCCACUAAAAUCAUAAUCAACACUGACAACUAAAAUAUUGUAUUAUUGUUAUGUGUAUGAUAAUGAUAAUUAAUAAUAAUUGGGGAGGGGGGUAGUUAAAAAAUGAACCCCAAAAGGUUCUUCAAAAGGUUAUUUGAGGAUCCGUUAAAAGGGGUUCUUUGAAGAACUUCAGGGGUUCCCACCCAGUUUCAAUUGGAAGAACCCCUAAAGGAUACUCCAGAAACCUUCUAUUUUUAGAGUGUGGUUAUACUGUAAGCCUAUCAAAGAUGGUGGAUGAAUGAAGAUGUCUUACUCAGGCAGUUUACCAUUGGAAAAAAUGGUCAAGGUUCCUGUCUGUGUAAGUUGGCGUUCCCAUGUGAGACCAAUGGCUCUGGUCUACUUAUUGUCUCUUCCCACUCUCCCCACCCACAGGGGGAAAUAAGUAGACCAGAGUGGCGCCGCCCCCAGAGUGGGAUGUCUUGCUUUCUCUACCGCCUCUGGAUCUAUACUGUAUUACUUACCCUUAAAUGUACCUAUUGGUGCUUUGUUUCCAUCCCACAUAAUUGAUUUUUAAGGACAAUACAUAGGCCAGUACCUAAAUUAUUUUUACAAAACCACACACACAAUGGUUUUGACUUGUAGAUAUGACUGAAUGAUUUUGUCACGUUGUUUCUUAUUGUGUUGCUGUAAGCCUAUGUGUAGGCCUGUGUUUUGUCUAUUACAAUAAAUUGUUUGAACUAAAGUCUCUCAUUUGAAAUGAAUAAUAUGAAACGCGAUGUUUGUGUAUAUUUGACAGGUUUGGAUGAGCGCAUCAGUGGUACUUUGUGUGGAACCUUGAUGAUAAGGACCA